UACAGAGGGGGCAAGCGUUGUUCGGAAUUACUGGGCGUAAAGGGCGCGUAGGCGGCCUGUUAAGUCGAACGUGAAAUCCCCGGGCUCAACCCGGGAACUGCGUCCGAUACUGGCAGGCUUGAAUUCGGGAGAGGGAUGCGGAAUUCCAGGUGUAGCGGUGAAAUGCGUAGAUAUUGGGAGGAACACCAGUGGCGAAGGCGACUGCCUGGACGGCACCUGACGCUGAGGCGCGAAAGCUAGGGGAGCAAACGGG
This 253-nucleotide ribosomal RNA is filed under the name uncultured bacterium. RNAcentral's name for it is "partial 16S ribosomal RNA". It matches the Rfam family "Bacterial small subunit ribosomal RNA", at positions 524 to 776 of the family's 1533-position model. The record is from RNAcentral.